Molecule: signal recognition particle RNA, 117 nt
Filed under: Gorilla gorilla gorilla (western lowland gorilla)
Lineage: Eukaryota; Metazoa; Chordata; Mammalia; Primates; Hominidae
Description: Metazoan signal recognition particle RNA
Rfam family: Metazoan signal recognition particle RNA
About the family: The signal recognition particle (SRP) is a universally conserved ribonucleoprotein.
Source: Rfam by way of RNAcentral
GCCAGGCAUGGUGGCUCACGCCUGUAAUCCAAGCAUUUUGGGAGGCUGAGGCAGGAGGAUCACUUGAGCCCAGGAGUUCAAAAUAAGCCUGGGCAAUACAGUGAGAUCCUGCCUCUG